UCCCUGGUGGUCUAAUGGUUAAGACUCUGCACUUCUAAUGUAGGGAGUACAGAUAUGAUCUCUGGUCAGAGAA
This 73-nucleotide transfer RNA is filed under the name Bos taurus (domestic cattle). It matches the Rfam family "tRNA". Rfam says of the family: Transfer RNA (tRNA) molecules are approximately 80 nucleotides in length. RNAcentral also lists the same sequence under 5 other names. The record is from Rfam by way of RNAcentral. Lineage: Eukaryota; Metazoa; Chordata; Mammalia; Artiodactyla; Bovidae.